UGCAGUCGAGCGGUAGAGAGAAGCUUGCUUCUCUUGAGAGCGGCGGACGGGUGAGUAAUGCCUAGGAAUCUGCCUGGUAGUGGGGGAUAACGUUCGGAAACGGACGCUAAUACCGCAUACGUCCUACGGGAGAAAGCAGGGGACCUUCGGGCCUUGCGCUAUCAGAUGAGCCUAGGUCGGAUUAGCUAGUUGGUGAGGUAAUGGCUCACCAAGGCGACGAUCCGUAACUGGUCUGAGAGGAUGAUCAGUCACACUGGAACUGAGACACGGUCCAGACUCCUACGGGAGGCAGCAGUGGGGAAUAUUGGACAAUGGGCGAAAGCCUGAUCCAGCCAUGCCGCGUGUGUGAAGAAGGUCUUCGGAUUGUAAAGCACUUUAAGUUGGGAGGAAGGGCAGUUGCCUAAUACGUAACUGUUUUGACGUUACCGACAGAAUAAGCACCGGCUAACUCUGUGCCAGCGGCCGCGGUAAUACAGAGGGUGCAAGCGUUAAUCGGAAUUACUGGGCGUAAAGCGCGCGUAGGUGGUUUGUUAAGUUGGAUGUGAAAUCCCCGGGCUCAACCUGGGAACUGCAUUCAAAACUGACUGACUAGAGUAUGGUAGAGGGUGGUGGAAUUUCCUGUGUAGCGGUGAAAUGCGUAGAUAUAGGAAGGAACACCAGUGGCGAAGGCGACCACCUGGACUAAUACUGACACUGAGGUGCG
Molecule: ribosomal RNA, 703 nt
Filed under: uncultured bacterium
Lineage: Bacteria
Description: bacterial SSU rRNA
Rfam family: Bacterial small subunit ribosomal RNA
Source: RNAcentral